Molecule: transfer RNA, 73 nt
Filed under: Trichonephila clavata
Lineage: Eukaryota; Metazoa; Arthropoda; Arachnida; Araneae; Nephilidae
Rfam family: tRNA
About the family: Transfer RNA (tRNA) molecules are approximately 80 nucleotides in length.
Source: Rfam by way of RNAcentral
GUCCCUGUAGCGCAAUGAAUAGCACGUUGGUCUUCCAAUCCAAAGGUCGUGGGUUCGAAUCCCUCCAGGGACG